AGAUUUUUGUCUCAAAGAUUUGAAACAAAAAAUCCAUACAAGAUCUCUAGAGAUCUCACCUAAAUCUCUAUAUAAAACACCCUCCAUCUUCUCCAAAUUAAAUCACAAACACACAGAACUCUUUACACUCAAAAUAUACACACAGAUAUUACUCUCCUCUCUCCCUUUGUCUGCAUAUCAAUUUACACACACACAAAACACAACACUGAGAUUUUUUUUACUCUCAUCUUCCCCAUAAUCUAUACUAUAACAAAUACCCACACAAAAUCAAACACCCACCCCCGCAUCCCUCGGUUCCCUCUUUCCAGGCGACACCCACCUUCUCCUCUUGACAACAAAACGGACCACCACCACCGUCCGGUGGUGGUGAGCGACAGCUGCAGAAACGGAGCGGGAGAGAGAGAGGCAAUGAAAGAGACAGAAGCGAGAGAGACGACGAGAUUGAUAGAUCGAGAGGAGAAAGAGAGUGACGGCGGAGAAGAAGCGGCGCCGCCGCUCAUGGCGGCGGCGGCAGUGGCGGUGGUUCGGGUCUCGGUCUGACGAAUUUCCGGCCAAAUUUGGGAAGACUUGCGAGUCUCGGCUCACCCACAGGUUGGUUCGGAUCGGACCUGGUCAAGUCUUGGAUGGUCAACAACAGUCAAAGUUUGGUCAACCGCUCGGGUCAACAGUGGGCAAGUUUGUUUUGGGUCAAGCAUGGAUCGGACGAGUCAGAUUCGCUCGUUUAACUCAGCGAGUCGACUCGGUCAAACCCGAGUCAACUCGGUCAGCACAGUCAAACCGAGUCAACUCAGUUGACCCGGUCAACUCAGUCUGCGGUUCGACGCGAGAGAUUUGGUAAAAAUUGACGACGUGUUUAAUAUUUACGUUAUAUUUUUUGUUUUAAUACUUACGUGACUAACGAGCUCAAACCCAUUUCGGAACAGUAUUUAGUUUACAUUUUAAACAUAUGAUGAAAAUUAACAUA
Molecule: long non-coding RNA, 964 nt
Organism: Helianthus annuus (common sunflower)
Lineage: Eukaryota; Viridiplantae; Streptophyta; Magnoliopsida; Asterales; Asteraceae
Exons: 2
Source: RefSeq, a predicted model, not a curated record